This 422-nucleotide ribosomal RNA is filed under the name uncultured bacterium. RNAcentral describes it as "bacterial SSU rRNA". It matches the Rfam family "Bacterial small subunit ribosomal RNA", at positions 358 to 773 of the family's 1533-position model. The record is from RNAcentral.
GGAAUUUUGGGCAAUGGGCGAAAGCCUGACCCAGCAACGCCGCGUGAAGGAUGAAAUCCCUCGGGAUGUAAACUUCGCAAGAACGGGAAGAAUAAGUAGGGGACAAUACCCCCUAUGAUGACGGUACCUGAGGAAUAAGCCACGGCUAACUACGUGCCAGCAGCCGCGGUAAUACGUAGGUGGCAAGCGUUGUCCGGAUUGACUGGGCGUAAAGAGCGCGCAGGCGGUCGUGCAAGUCGCGUGUGAAAGCCCCCGGCUCAACUGGGGAGGGUCACGCGAUACUGCUCGACUUGAAGGCAGGAGAGGGAAGUGGAAUUCCCGGUGUAGUGGUGAAAUGCGUAGAUAUCGGGAGGAACACCAGUGGCGAAGGCGACUUCCUGGCCUGUUCUUGACGCUGAGGCGCGAAAGCUAGGGUAGCAAAC